This 224-nucleotide unclassified non-coding RNA is filed under the name Hevea brasiliensis (rubber tree). The record is from RNAcentral. Lineage: Eukaryota; Viridiplantae; Streptophyta; Magnoliopsida; Malpighiales; Euphorbiaceae.
GUGGAAGUGGGGGUGUUUCUUUAACAUUGGGAUUACAACAACAUGGUGGAUCAUCAAUGGGGUUAACUACAUUUUCAUCACAACCCUCUCAUCAUAAUCAUAAUCAUCAAAGUUCACUUUUUUAUCCAAGAGAUGAUCAUGAUCAAGUUCAAUAUUCAUCACUUUUGGAUAGUGAAAAUCAGAAUUUGCCAUAUAGGAACUUGAUGGGAGCACAACUUCUUCAU